Small nuclear RNA from Pteronotus mesoamericanus, 144 nucleotides. RefSeq annotates it as U4 spliceosomal RNA. The record is from RefSeq and is a predicted model, not a curated record. The transcript has a single exon. NCBI's taxonomy places the organism in Eukaryota, Metazoa, Chordata, Mammalia, Chiroptera, Mormoopidae.
AGCUUUGCGCAGUUCCGUGUCGUAGCCAAUGAGGUUUAUCCGAGGCGCGAUUAUUGCUCAUUGAAAACGUUCCCCAAUACCCCGCAGCGACUUCAGGGCAGCAUGCCUGGAACUGGAGAGCGUUAUGCUAAGUGCAAGAAGGCA